Molecule: ribosomal RNA, 320 nt
Filed under: uncultured bacterium
Lineage: Bacteria
Description: bacterial SSU rRNA
Rfam family: Bacterial small subunit ribosomal RNA
Source: RNAcentral
AUUGAACGCUGGCGGCAUGCCUUACACAUGCAAGUCGAACGGCAGCACGGGAGCAAUCCUGGUGGCGAGUGGCGAACGGGUGAGUAAUAUAUCGGAACGUGCCCAGUCGUGGGGAUAACGUAGCGAAAGCUACGCUAAUACCGCAUACGAUCUAUGGAUGAAAGCGGGGGAUCGCAAGACCUCGCGCGAUUGGAGCGGCCGAUAUCAGAUUAGGUAGUUGGUGAGGUAAAGGCUCACCAAGCCGACGAUCUGUAGCUGGUCUGAGAGGACGACCAGCCACACUGGGACUGAGACACGGCCCAGACUCCUACGGGAGGCAG